UUAGGGAGACCUAAUCCACUCAGACAUCGAAAACAAAAAGUGAAUAGACACUGAGAUGGUCAUUCCUAGGUCGGUCGAGGUUGGUAAAAACUUUCAAAGUAUUUUUGGUUCAGUUUAAUAACAGAGAAAAAAUCAGCAACAUGGCAUCAAGCCAGACUGCUGGGUAAGACUCAGCCAGAACCUUUAAAACUGCAUAGUAACGCGAAAAAAGCAGGCAGACACAGACAUGAAAAUGAAAGUGUAUGCGAUGUAAAA
This 255-nucleotide unclassified non-coding RNA is filed under the name Umezakia ovalisporum ILC-164. RNAcentral's name for it is "Chrysosporum ovalisporum ILC-164 16S-23S ribosomal RNA intergenic spacer". The record is from RNAcentral. Lineage: Bacteria; Bacillati; Cyanobacteriota; Cyanophyceae; Nostocales; Nodulariaceae.